Patella vulgata (common limpet) is the source of this 570-nucleotide long non-coding RNA. RefSeq lists it as uncharacterized. The record is from RefSeq and is a predicted model, not a curated record. The transcript is spliced from 3 exons. NCBI's taxonomy places the organism in Eukaryota, Metazoa, Mollusca, Gastropoda, Patellidae.
ACAAUUAACAUCUAUUAUAGGGAUCACGUGAUUGUUUCACAGGGCAACCCAACUAAACACAUCCAAAUUCUUGGUUGUUUACAUUGGUGACGCGCGCGUCUCAACUUUAUACUUACUUAUUCAGUAUUUCAGGUCUGGGAUCGAGUGGAAGUGAGUUAACUUUGACAGCACAUAUCUCAACAAACGCUAAAGAACAAAUAAUUCAAGAUGGCGACAGCAGGAGCAGUUACAGACGAUGAACGUGAUAUGCUAGCUAAAUAUUUUGAAGAGUGCGUGAUUAGUGCAUCCGGUGGUAAAAAAUUAUCAGAUGACGAGAAGAAAUAUGCUACCGGAAAAGCAAUUAUGAAGAUGAUUGAACCCGUGAUGGGCAAAUCUGAUGCUACUUUUUGUGAAGGAGGCGUGGUUACCAAAUUAUCCGAUAAAAAAACAAAGAAAAUGCAUGUAGAUGUCUUUACUGGUGAUUUUUUCCCUGAAUUAGCAAAAUAUGCAGCUACCAGCAUCCCUGCUCACAAGAAAAAGGGCACGACUCCAGAAGCUCUUAAACAAAAAUACUUAGAAAAAGUUAGAACA